RNAcentral lists this ribosomal RNA (734 nucleotides) under uncultured bacterium. RNAcentral's name for it is "bacterial SSU rRNA". It matches the Rfam family "Archaeal small subunit ribosomal RNA", at positions 176 to 912 of the family's 1478-position model. The record is from RNAcentral.
UGGCUUAUGAUUGAAAUGAUUUAUCGCUGUAGGAUGGGACUGCGGCCUAUCAGCUUGUUGGUGGGGUAAUGGCCCACCAAGGCUAUAACAGGUACGGGCUCUGAGAGGAGAAGCCCGGAGAUGGGUACUGAGACACGGACCCAGGCCCUAUGGGGCGCAGCAGGCGAGAAACCCUAGCAAUGUGCGAAAGCACGACUAGGUUAAUCCGAGUGAUUUCUGCUGAAGAAAUCUUUUGUCAGUUCUAAAAAUACCGAUGAAUAAGGGGUGGGCAAGUCUGGUGUCAGCCGCCGCGGUAAUACCAGCACCUCGAGUGGUCAGGAUGUUUAUUGGGCCUAAAGCAUCCGUAGCCGGCUUUGCAAGUCUCCGGUUAAAUCCAGCUGCCUAACAGAUGGGCUGCCGGAGAUACUACAAAGCUAGGGAGCGGGAGAGGCAGACGGUAUUCGGUGGGUAGGGGUAAAAUCCUCUGAUCCAUUGAAGACCACCAGUGGCGAAGGCGGUCUACCAGAACGCGUUCGACGGUGAGGGAUGAAAGCUGGGGGAGCAAACCGGAUUAGAUACCCGGGUAGUCCCAGCUGUAAACGAUGCAAACUCGGUGAUGCGUUGGCUUAUGGCCAACGCAGUGCCGCAGGGAAGCCGUUAAGUUUGCCGCCUGGGAAGUACGGACGCAAGUCUGAAACUUAAAGGAAUUGGCGGGGGAGCACCACAAGGGGUGAAGCCUGCGGUUCAAUUGGAUC